This 229-nucleotide long non-coding RNA is filed under the name Gallus gallus (chicken). Lineage: Eukaryota; Metazoa; Chordata; Aves; Galliformes; Phasianidae. The record is from RNAcentral.
GGAAAAGCUGCUUCUGGCCAAGAGCAAGCUGGUGGACUCAGAAACUUUCACAGAGCUGGACUGAGGCUGUGGAAUUCACAAAAGAUUAGGGAACCUAUGGAGGUUUGGAAAAAAAUGUGAUCUAUCUGGAGGACUUCUUCCUGCCAUUGUAUUUUAAAAAAACUAAGGCCAAAUUUGACUCAGUGGCACUGGUGUGUUUUUGGAGUACCUCAUCUCAGAUUUAAAUCAG